ACAACCAACCCAUGUGUUCAUUUUCUCUUAAUUUAUUUAUUUAUUUAUUUUGACUCUCUAUUUGAUGUUGAACACUCACAACUGUAUCUCAACGAUCUUGUCGUUCCUACCAUUUUUGUUGGGUAGCUAGCUAUAGCUUCAAUCGACCAAUUUUUCACUAUCAUUUUCAGUUUGUUGGAAAUAAAGCAGGAAGACAGCUUGGAUCAACCAAUUACCAGGGUGCUGAAAAGAAAAGAGACAGAAGAAUAUCAGGAAAAUCUCCGUAGAUGAUGAUAAUGAAAAAAUUCCGAUUUCAAAGAGGCCAAAGAUCAAGAGAUGAUUCAAAGGAAACAUGUUUGUCAGCUAUUGUUGAGUAUCGCUCAUAAGUCAUAAGAGAUGACUUAUGAGCGAUAUCAUAUGUUUUGAAUAGCAUACAACUUCGUUCUUGAGUCUCUAAUUUGUAAUUUCAGUGCUUCAUUAGCACAUAUUUUUUAAAACCAUCUCAUGGCAUUCUUCAUUUUCAA
Trifolium pratense (red clover) is the source of this 503-nucleotide long non-coding RNA. RefSeq lists it as uncharacterized. NCBI's taxonomy places the organism in Eukaryota, Viridiplantae, Streptophyta, Magnoliopsida, Fabales, Fabaceae. The record is from RefSeq and is a predicted model, not a curated record. The transcript is spliced from 3 exons.